Long non-coding RNA from Brassica napus (rape), 917 nucleotides. RefSeq lists it as uncharacterized. The record is from RefSeq and is a predicted model, not a curated record. The transcript has 3 exons. NCBI's taxonomy places the organism in Eukaryota, Viridiplantae, Streptophyta, Magnoliopsida, Brassicales, Brassicaceae.
ACACGUGUCAGCAAACAAAGGGAUUCAAUUUGUUUUUCUUCUUCUCUGUCGUUUCGUUUUCUCUGUGAGUUCUCCUUCAUUCGGCGAUCUGAAACUGAAACCGACGAUGUCUUCUGUCAGUCUUCUCCGUCAGAGACGAUCGACGUCUCUCUCGGUCGUCACGGCGCCUCCUCCGUCUUCUCUCGUCAUCUCCGUCCGAAGAGCGAUCGAAAUCCAAUCUAGAUUUGACUCUUCUAUUACUCCUGAGUUCUUCAUUGUUUUUUUUUCUUUCUUUAUUUAAUUAUCAUUUUAGUCUCUGCUGAAAUUCAACUGAUCUUGCUUGUUAUUGAUCCGUUCAUUAGAGGUUUCUAUAGGUCCAUCAGUGUUAUAGCAAAAUCUGUCUUGCAUAUAAAGGCUGGAAACAAAAUACCUCUUUUUGGGAAUAUUUGGUCAUAUAUUCAUAGAGCCAAGCAUCCUCAAAUUAUAAACCUUUGAUGUUGUUAUCAGAAUAAUUGAUCAGCCUGGUUGCAGAGAGGAUUUGUUGACUGCUUCCAGCGAGUGCGUUUAUCCCUCAAAGGGCAUAUCAUCUUUAGAUGUUCCAGUAUCUCCUUGCAGGGAUGAUGAAGGCAUCAGAGAAACAAAGUGCAGGUGUUGUGUUCAAUGAGAUGAAAGGUGGUCUAUUCACAGCCUGAUAAUAUUUUAGGACGAAUUGCUCAGCAGGUUGUGAAAGAGUGGAGCAUUGGGAGCAUCCUUGUAACGGACAUGAAGCCUUUUGUUUCUAGUCUGGUUGUGAAAGAGUGGAGCAUUGGGAGCAUCAUGAAGCCUUUUUUUUCUAGUCUGGUUGUGUUUGUUCUUAUGUGUCACUUGUUUUGUUGUGUCACGGUCAUUGUAACGAAACGUAAUUCAGAAAGUUGUAUAAAGUAGAAGCUUGUUCUUUA